UUAAUGUAGUUUAGUUUUUUUGUUUUUUUGUUUUUUUCUAGUAGAGAUGAGGUCUCACUAUGUCAACCAGGCUGGUUUUGAACUCCUGGGCUCAAGCAGUCCUCCCACCUUGGCCUCCAAAAGUUCUGGGAUUACAAGCAUAAGCCACCACGCCAGCCUCAAUUAAUUUAGUUCUAAAAAUUCCUGAGAUGUUAGUAUUUGACUUGUUGCCUUACUCUGCUCAACGUAUAAGCUCAGUUCUGCUAAGGCAAUCACAUUUUUCCUUAGAAGAUCUCUAAUGUGGAGCUGAAGUCUUACAAAGGUAAUAGUCAGGUUCUGUGUUAUUUCUAGGGUCGAACAAUCUUAUCAGAAGGUGAUGGCCCUUUGGCACCAGCUACAUGUUAACACCAAAAGCCUUAUAUCUUGGAACUAUCUGCGUAAAGACCUUGACCUUAUACAGACCUGGAACCUAGAAAAGCUUCGAUCCUCAGCACCAGGGGAGUGUCAUCAGAUUAUGAAGAAUCUUCAGGCCCACUAUGAAGACUUUCUGCAGGAUAGUCGUGACUCUGUGCUGUUCUCAGUGGCUGAUCGCUUGCGCUUGGAAGAGGAAGUGGAAGCUUGUAAAGCCCACUUCCAGCACCUGAUGAAGUCCAUGGAGAAUGAGGACAAAGAGGAGACUGUGGCCAAGAUGUACAUUUCAGAGUUGAAGAACGUCCGGCUACGCCUGGAGGAGUGUGAACAGAGGGUGGUCAAACGAAUUCAGUCUCUAGCCGGCUCUAGGACUGACAAAGAUGCCCAGCAGGACAGUGCAUUAAGGAUUGCAGAGCAAGAAGUAAGCCCUAAGAGCAGUGCGGAUGCUGGUUGUGUAGUGAAUGCUUUCAGAGUUCAUUGGAUGGCAAGA
RNAcentral lists this long non-coding RNA (880 nucleotides) under Rhinopithecus roxellana (golden snub-nosed monkey). Its description in RNAcentral is "lncRNA (ENSRROG00000045946.1)". The record is from RNAcentral. Lineage: Eukaryota; Metazoa; Chordata; Mammalia; Primates; Cercopithecidae.